AGUGAGAGGAUGAUAGUGAGAGUGAGAGUGAGAGUGAGAGUGGAAAACUGAAUGUUCUUCAGAUAAGACAGCGAAAGAGGAGGCCCGAGAGUAGUUGAAUGGGCUUAAUUUUAUCGUUAACAAUAUAAUAUAAUGCCGAUGAACCUGACCUUUACACGUGUCGAUAUCAAAAUGGUGCCGACAUCUGCAUUCCACGACCAUACCAUAUCACUCGUGACUGAAUUAUAAUGUUGGUUUCUAGAUUUGGC
Molecule: long non-coding RNA, 248 nt
Filed under: Brassica napus (rape)
Lineage: Eukaryota; Viridiplantae; Streptophyta; Magnoliopsida; Brassicales; Brassicaceae
Description: long non-coding RNA (BNAP_LNC017539)
Source: RNAcentral